This 406-nucleotide ribosomal RNA is filed under the name uncultured bacterium. RNAcentral's name for it is "partial 16S ribosomal RNA". It matches the Rfam family "Bacterial small subunit ribosomal RNA", at positions 30 to 526 of the family's 1533-position model. The record is from RNAcentral.
AUUGAACGCUGGCGGCAGGCCUAACACAUGCAAGUCGAACGAGUGGCGGACGGGUGAGGUAUGUCUGGGAAACUGCCUUAUGGAGGGGGAUCACUACUGGAAACGGUAGCUAACACCGCAUACUAACAUAUGUCCCGAGAUGGGAUUAGCUUGUUGGUGGGGUAAAGGCUCACCAAGGCGACGAUCCCUAGCUGGUCUGAGAGGAUGACCAGCCACACUGGAACUGAGACACGGUCCAGACGCCUACGGGAGGCAGCAGUGGGGAAUAUUGCACAAUGGGCGCAAGCCUGAUGCAGCCAUGCCGCGUGUGUGAAGAAGGCCUUCGGGUUGUAAAGUACUUUCAGCGGGGAGGCGUUACCCGCAGAAGAAGCACCGGCUAACUCCGUGCCAGCCGCCGCGGUAAUAC